Molecule: small nucleolar RNA, 215 nt
Organism: Bombina bombina (fire-bellied toad)
Lineage: Eukaryota; Metazoa; Chordata; Amphibia; Anura; Bombinatoridae
Product: small nucleolar RNA U3
Exons: 1
Source: RefSeq, a predicted model, not a curated record
AAGACUAUACUUUCAGGGAUCAUUUCUAUAGUUUUUGACUGGAGAAAUGUGCUCUAAAGUGUCUGAACUCGCUAACCACGAGGAAGAGGUUAAGUGUUUACUCCUGAGCGUGAAGCGAGCUUGCAGUGCUGUGUAAUACAGUGGCUGCUUGCUAUUGAUGAUCGUUCUUGUCUUCAUAACGAAGACAUUGAUGGAGGAAACAUAAGCUGAGUGGU